UCCUUGGUGGUCCAGUGGUUAGGACUCUGCGCUUUCACUGUCAGGGGUCUGGGUUCAAUCCCCAGUCAGGGAA
Cervus elaphus (red deer) is the source of this 73-nucleotide non-coding RNA. Lineage: Eukaryota; Metazoa; Chordata; Mammalia; Artiodactyla; Cervidae. The record is from the annotation of a RefSeq genome assembly.